UGGGGAAUUUUGGACAAUGGGCGCAAGCCUGAUCCAGCCAUGCCGCGUGCAGGAUGAAGGCCUUCGGGUUGUAAACUGCUUUUGUACGGAACGAAAAGUCUCUUUCUAAUAAAGAGGGAUCAUGACGGUACCGUAAGAAUAAGCACCGGCUAACUACGUGCCAGCAGCCGCGGUAAUACGUAGGGUGCAAGCGUUAAUCGGAAUUACUGGGCGUAAAGCGUGCGCAGGCGGUGAUGUAAGACAGUUGUGAAAUCCCCGGGCUCAACCUGGGAACUGCAUCUGUGACUGCAUCGCUGGAGUGCGGCAGAGGGGGAUGGAAUUCCGCGUGUAGCAGUGAAAUGCGUAGAUAUGCGGAGGAACACCGAUGGCGAAGGCAAUCCCCUGGGCCUGCACUGACGCUCAUGCACGAAAGCGUGGGGAGCAAACA
This 427-nucleotide ribosomal RNA is filed under the name uncultured bacterium. Its description in RNAcentral is "bacterial SSU rRNA". It matches the Rfam family "Bacterial small subunit ribosomal RNA", at positions 355 to 774 of the family's 1533-position model. The record is from RNAcentral.